AGAGUUUGAUCAUGGCUCAGAACGUACGCUGGCGGCACGCCUAACACAUGCAAGUCGAACGAAGUAGCAAUACUUAGUGGCAGACGGGUGAGUAACAUGUAGGUAUCUGCCCUUUGGCCUGGAAUAACACGAGGAAACUUGUGCUAAUACCGGAUAAGUCUUUACGGAGAAAGCUUUAUGCACCAUUGGAUGAGCCUGCACUUGAUUAGUUUGUUGGUGGGGUAAUGGCCUACCAAGACUGUGAUCAAUAGCUGAUUUGAGAGGAUGAUCAGCCACAUUGGGACUGAGACACGGCCCAAACUCCUACGGGAGGCAGCAGUGGGGAAUCUUGCACAAUGGAGGAAACUCUGAUGCAGCGAUGCCGCGUGAGUGAAGAAGGCCUUUGGGUUGUAAAGCUCUUUCGUCGGGGAAGAAAAUGACUGUACCCGAAUAAGAAGGUCUGGCUAACUUCGUGCCAGCAGCCGCGGUAAUACGAAGGGACCUAGCGUAGUUCGGAAUUACUGGGCUUAAAGAGUUCGUAGGUGGUUGAAAAAGUUGGUGGUGAAAUCCCAGAGCUUAACUCUGGAACUGCCAUCAAAACUUUUCAGCUAGAGUAUGAUAGAGGAAAGCAGAAUUUCUAGUGUAGAGGUGAAAUUCGUAGAUAUUAGAAAGAAUACCAAUUGCGAAGGCAGCUUUCUGGAUCAUUACUGACACUGAGGAACGAAAGCAUGGGUAGCGAAGAGGAUUAGAUACCCUCGUAGUCCAUGCCGUAAACGAUGUGUGUUAGACGUUGGAAAUUUAUUUUCAGUGUCGCAGCGAAAGCGAUAAACACACCGCCUGGGGAGUACGACCGCAAGGUUAAAACUCAAAUGAAUUGACGGGGACCCGCACAAGUAGUGGAGCAUGUGGUUUAAUUCGAAGAUACGCGCAGAACCUUACCAACACUUGACAUGUUCGUCGCGACUUUAAGAGAUUAAAGUUUUCGGUUCGGCCGGACGAAACACAGGUGCUGCAUGGCUGUCGUCAGCUCGUGUCGUGAGAUGUUGGGUUAAGUCCCGCAACGAGCGCAACCCUCACUUUUAGUUGCCAUCAUUAAGUUGGGCACUCUGAAAGAACUGCCAGUGAUAAGCUGGAGGAAGGUGGGGAUGACGUCAAGUCCUCAUGGCCCUUACGUGUUGGGCUACACACGUGCUACAAUGGUAUCUACAACAGGAAGCAAAACUGCGAGGUUAAGCAAAUCCUUAAAAGAUACCUCAGUUCGGAUUGCACUCUGCAACUCGAGUGCAUGAAGCUGGAAUUACUAGUAAUCGUGGAUCAGCGUGCCACGGUGAAUGCGUUCCCGGGUCUUGUACACACCGCCCGUCACACCAUGGGAGUUGGUUCUACCUUAAGGCAAGGUUUUAAACCCUUGACCACGGUAUAGUCAGCGACUGGGGUGAAGUCAUAACAAGGUAACCGUA
Molecule: ribosomal RNA, 1439 nt
Filed under: uncultured bacterium
Lineage: Bacteria
Description: bacterial SSU rRNA
Rfam family: Bacterial small subunit ribosomal RNA
Source: RNAcentral